GCCGUCUAUUAUCAUCUGCUACUUUGUCUGUCCGGUUAGCGGAGAAUUCGUUGAAGAUACGAUACUGAGGAGAAAUAUUCGUUUUAAGGACAAAUUUUGCAGCUUAUUAAUGUGGCAACAGCACCGCGCUAAUUAUCCUUAUUAAUGCAGUGGCGUCAGGAGAAGGAGACGGCAUCAUAAAAUUGUCAACUUUUUGUGUUUAAAAUCGCGAAAGUUGGCGAUUUUAUUUUGUUUUUGCGGUGCCUGUCCCUUGUUGUCGGUUGCGUUGAAGGAUUUACGUGCGUGGCGUCAGGAGGAUGGAGUCGCAUAUAUGUAUCUGCUAGUUUGCCUGGCAAGUUUUGCGUUUUUCUGUUAUCGGAAGAUUAUUGAACAUACGAUGCUGCGGAAAAUUAUGCAAUUUAGGGAAGGAUUUUGAGGCUUUUAAAUGUGGUGUCAGCGCCGCGCUAGUGAUCCUUGAUAAUGCAGUGGCAUCAGGAGGUGGAGACGGCGUCGUAAAAUUGUCAACUAAUGUAGACGCUCGUCGAUCUGGGAGAUUUUAAUUUUUACUUCGUACCCCCGCCAGAAGGACGGAAGCAUCGAGUCGCUGGAGGCCUCGAGAGUCAUUGGAUGUCAGCUUCGCCGGUCGUCGGGAAGAGGAAGCCUGAAGAAAGAUCCCGCACAGCGGUCGUCACGUAGUUUUGGAGCUGCUGCCAUUAUUGUGGUUGGAUAUGUCUCGUUUUGGCAGAGGAGUAGUCAGUGAUGAUUGUGGCUUGGUCGUUCAUCUAGAGUGGCUAGGUGCGCCGCGUUUUGUGGCCAUUUCGCCAGGGUUUGCAGCUUGGAGCCUCCGGAACGUGAUUAGUUGCCGAGGACCGUCGCAACGAUUGGAGCCGUGGAAAUGGAAGUAAAAUUAGAGAUUGGGUACAUUUGGUGGGAGGUACAUUAGGUGGAAGCUAAUCUGGUGGUAUUAUAAUUGUUUUUAUGGUUGCACUAAUAUUUUGUUUUUCAGGUACGUUUUGUAACUAAUUAGGAGGCCCUUUGUUUUUGAAACAUAGCAACGGAAGAGCCGCGGGUUUAGUGUCGUCGUUGUUGUUGCUGCUGGCUUCACUUUUAGAUACUGUUGCGCGCGCGCCUCUGUCUGUUUUAUAAUCUCAACUGACUUGCAAAAUUGGGCUAGGCGCGUAGGCGGGCUUUUUCUAUAGCUCAAAGGCACGGCGGAAUAUCGAUAUGUUAUCAAUUUCCCUGCAGCUCGUUAUCGAUAUUUCACGCCUUUUUUUUUGGCGGGCUUUUUGGCUAUUAUCUUUUUUGCCGCCAG
Molecule: long non-coding RNA, 1291 nt
Organism: Drosophila mauritiana
Lineage: Eukaryota; Metazoa; Arthropoda; Insecta; Diptera; Drosophilidae
Exons: 7
Source: RefSeq, a predicted model, not a curated record